AUUGAACGCUGGCGGAAUGCUUUACACAUGCAAGUCGAACGGCAGCACGGACUUCGGUCUGGUGGCGAGUGGCGAACGGGUGAGUAAUAUAUCGGAACGUGCCCAGUCGUGGGGGAUAACGGAGUGAAAAUUACGCUAAUACCGCAUACGAUCUACGGAUGAAAGCGGGGGAUCGGAAGACCUCGCUCGAUUGGAGCGGCCGAAAUCAGGUUAGGUAGUUGGUGAGGUAAAGGCACACCAAGCCAACGAUCUGUAGCUGGUCUGAUCGGACGACCAGCCACACUGGAACUGAGACACGGCCCAGAGUCCUACGGGAGGCAGCAUUGGUGAAUUUUGGACAAUCGACGCAAGUCUGAUCCAGCCAUUCCGCGUGCAGGACGAAGGCCUUCGGAUUGUAAACUGCUUUUGUACAGGACGAAAAGGUAUCUAUUAAUACUAGGGGCUCAUGACGGUACUGUAAGAAUAAGCACCGGCUAACUACGUGCCAGCAGCCGCAGUAA
This 500-nucleotide ribosomal RNA is filed under the name uncultured bacterium. Its description in RNAcentral is "partial 16S ribosomal RNA". It matches the Rfam family "Bacterial small subunit ribosomal RNA", at positions 30 to 523 of the family's 1533-position model. The record is from RNAcentral.